This 460-nucleotide ribosomal RNA is filed under the name uncultured bacterium. Its description in RNAcentral is "partial 16S ribosomal RNA". It matches the Rfam family "Bacterial small subunit ribosomal RNA", at positions 338 to 795 of the family's 1533-position model. The record is from RNAcentral.
CCUACGGGCGGCUGCAGUGAGGAAUAUUGGUCAAUGGCCGUAAGGCUGAACCAGCCAAGUAGCGUGAAGGAAGAAGGAUCUAUGGUUUGUAAACUUCUUUUAUAGGGGAAUAAAGGUAUCCACGUGUGGAUUUUUGCAUGUACCCUAUGAAUAAGCAUCGGCUAACUCCGUGCCAGCAGCCGCGGUAAUACGGAGGAUGCGAGCGUUAUCCGGAUUUAUUGGGUUUAAAGGGUGCGUAGGUUGUUUUUUAAGUCAGCGGUGAAAGUUUGUGGCUCAACCAUAAAAUUGCCGUUGAAACUGGAAGACUUGAGUGUGUUUGAGGUAGGCGGAAUGCGUGGUGUAGCGGUGAAAUGCAUAGAUAUCACGCAGAACUCCGAUUGCGAAGGCAGCUUACUAGGCCAUAACUGACACUGAAGCACGAAAGCGUGGGGAUCAAACAGGAUUAGAUACCCUUGUAGUC